UUUGUUCAUUAGGUUCCCCUUAUUGGUGAGAUCACAUGGUAUUUGUCUUUUACCACCUGGCUUGUUUCACUUAGCAUAAUGCUCUCCAGUUCCAUCCAUGCUGUAGGGAAAGGUAGGAGCACCUUCUGAAAUGAUGUUUUUAAAGACAUGGGCAUCAAGCAAUGAAGAAAGAACCUGAGAUUAAGAAUGUGAACUUUGAGUGCAAGGACACCAACAAGGCGUGUGUGACCUGUUGACAGAAGCACCAUCCUGGGCCGUUUGAUUUGUGUUUAGAGGCAGUAUGGCAUAUUUGAACAGAAUGAUGAGAUUUUCCAGAUCGACAUGUCAAACAGGUGCAUAUAGCUAUUUAGUGUGGAACUCAUAAAAAUAUACUUUAAUAUGUGUUAAAACUUCCAUUUUAGCCAAUGUCGAAUGCCUACGCAAUAUGCCAAGUGUUGUGCUAGGAACGUUCACAUCUGUUUUCUCAUACAUUGCCGUAAAGGUUGAAGAACUUGGCUGCGAUCAUGGAGUUUUUUUGGUGAAGGACUCAAUGAACAGAGAGCCUCAUGACUGUAACAUAAAAUGCCUUUGCACUGCACCAUGAUUCAAAUCAUUAAGAGCGAGAUGAAAUUUUCAUGAUUAAUAGUUGCACUUUGCAAUAAUACUAAUAUGAUUUAUAGUGUUGACAUUAAACUAAAAAGUAUCAACAUUUAGUCAUUUCUUUUGAAAUGAAGCUUAUUUAAUACCAGUGAACUGAAACCCUACCAAUAUUCAAAACCCUAAUUUAUUUAGCAAUUGGAUGAAUUUUCCCCACUAAUGCCACAUUGCCCAAAAGGCUGCGUUUCACGAAAACAACAAAAAAUAUCUAUGAGAAAUCUGAAAAGUCAAAUCAGCCUAAAAAUUUGCAUGAAAUAAACAAGACCGGCAACUAAACGUUUUUAUUUUUUAAAGAUUGUGUCAAUAAUGAAUGAGAGACAGGCGCCAGAUGCCUGACCCUCUUGCGGGUCAUUGCUCCCAAGAUGACCCAGAAAAGAAGGAACGGCAGUUAUGCCCGAAAAGGCCACGGGCGUGCACGCCCUACCCGCUGCCCCGACUGCGCCUGCGCGCGUCCAGCGACCAGGCCUUGAAGAAGUUCGUCAUGCGGAACAGCAGGGGCACAGCUGUCUGGGGCAUUUCUGGGACAUUUCCCAAGUGUCUCUGGCACCUGUGUGUUUGCCAAGCCGCAUGUGAAACUACAUGACGGCGGGAGUCGUGCCAUUCACGGCAAGGUGGCGGGGAUCGUUCGGUGACCCUGAAGGAGCGAACAGACCCCACCCCGAUUUAGACUUGCGGGUGCUGCCGCACGACCUGCACCAAAGCCCACUCAAGGAGCUGACUCCCUAAGGACGGAAGGAAAGGUCUCCGG
Phyllostomus discolor (pale spear-nosed bat) is the source of this 1384-nucleotide long non-coding RNA. RefSeq lists it as uncharacterized. NCBI's taxonomy places the organism in Eukaryota, Metazoa, Chordata, Mammalia, Chiroptera, Phyllostomidae. The transcript is spliced from 2 exons. The record is from RefSeq and is a predicted model, not a curated record.